UCCCAUCUUCCCACGCAGUACUAUAUAUAUAGUAGGGUGGGGGAAGAUGAGACAC
This 55-nucleotide microRNA precursor is filed under the name Ciona intestinalis (vase tunicate). Its description in RNAcentral is "miRNA (ENSCING00000019646.1)". The record is from RNAcentral. Lineage: Eukaryota; Metazoa; Chordata; Ascidiacea; Phlebobranchia; Cionidae.